This is a long non-coding RNA of Eriocheir sinensis (Chinese mitten crab), 1394 nucleotides long. RefSeq lists it as uncharacterized. The record is from RefSeq and is a predicted model, not a curated record. The transcript is spliced from 2 exons. NCBI's taxonomy places the organism in Eukaryota, Metazoa, Arthropoda, Malacostraca, Decapoda, Varunidae.
GUAGAGAAGAUGGCGCCACUAUAAACACUUGCCUGCACCAUGACGGGCUGGAGCCGAAUACCAUCCAGGCCCCUCAAGCAAGCCUACCGGCGCAAUAGGCAUAGACGUAAAAAAAAAAAUAGUAGGAGCAGGUGCAGGCUGUGUAGCUUCCUGCAGACAUUUCUUUACGUACACUUGCGAGAAAAAAUAGUAAAGAUAUGAUCGUCAUUAGUACAAUUGCCUCUUCAUUAAUGGUAGACAUUUCAACAUUAUUUUUUUUCUCAGCACCCAGGGGGCAGGGGCGCUGCUCUCGGAGACCUCACCCCUUCCUAAAAAAUGGAUAGGCUACUGUCCUGUAAUCAUUGAGUGAUUGUCUAACCUGAGUCUGCUCUCCGUUAUUAUAUUGCUUCCCUUUGCUUCCGAAAUUCUGUCCGUGAUGCACCUAAUGGUGGUGAGUUACCCCUGUCUUUAAUCUAAAAAAAUGAAGAUGCAAACGUGUGCAGCUUCAUACAUGAGCGAUAAAUCAACAAGUGGAUGCGUUCGUUUGGUAUUGAGAACAUCUUAAAAGCUUCCGUUCAUGCCUCAGCGGCCUGUAUGCACAGCCACCCCUGGGAUGAGCGGCGAGGGGAGGCCGAGCGGCUUACGGCAGUGAGUAAAUGAGGGGAAAGCAAUGAUCCGACCCCCACACACGGCGCAGAUUACUGCCGCCCACGCUGCCAAGUGUUAACAGCACGCGAGACUGAUUAAAACAUAAAUAUUAACAAUCAUGUAUAUAUCAACGUGUGGUAAGACGGGGGCCGAAGCUGAUGCCUCAAGGAGCCAGGCUGGGGCAGGGAGGGGCCGGGGGAGCAUGAGUUGGACAGGGACUGACGGCCACCUCGCGAUCCAACACCGAAAAGCUUGUCCCUGGCAGGUGAUCAUCCUACAUCUGUGUUGCCGUGCCGCCGGGCGCCCAGCACGCCCAGAUAUAAGGCUGUCCGCAGCUUGGCAGACUCACUCCUCUCCUGACUUGCCUUUCCACCAUGAAGAUCCUGCACCUCCUCUUGAUGGUCGUGGCGGCGGCGGUGGGCAGGGUGGUGGCCCAGCAGAAACCAGGCCUGGUGCUGGAUGACCCGUCUGACCUGCAGGACCCCUCGUGGGUGCAGCCGCCUCGCUUCCACUAUCGCGGCUUCCAUCGUCCUCAAGUUGGAGCCGGGUGGCCGUGACCACUCAUCUGCUUCUCCUUAGAUCCGGUCACGACGAACUGCUGGGCCCUUUGUCCGUCACCCACCCACCGCUCGGUUAACACCACAGUAUAUUAAACUCUGAAGAAACAGGAUCAAUACACUUCAAAAGUAAUUGCUGGAAUCAAUACUUAUACUGUCGGCCUUGCCAUCAACUUUUUGUAACUUCAAGAAUAUAAACCAAAUUCAGAG